RNAcentral lists this unclassified non-coding RNA (391 nucleotides) under soil metagenome. RNAcentral describes it as "partial contains 5.8S ribosomal RNA, internal transcribed spacer 2, and large subunit ribosomal RNA". The stretch from base 1 to 122 matches the Rfam family "5.8S ribosomal RNA", at positions 35 to 154 of the family's 154-position model. The record is from RNAcentral.
GAUGAAGAACGUAGCGAAAUGCGAUACUUGGUGUGAAUUGCAGAAUCCCGUGAACCAUCGAGUCUUUGAACGCAAGUUGCGCCCGAAGCCAUUAGGCCGAGGGCACGCCUGCCUGGGCGUCACACGUCGUUGCCCCCCCAUCUACUCCUUCGGGAUUGCGGGGGGCGGAUGAUGGCCUCCCGUGCGCCUCGCCGCGCGGUUGGCAUAAAUGCCAAGUCCUCGGCGACGCACGCCACGACAAUCGGUGGUUGCGAAACCUCGGUUGCCCGUCGUGUGCGGUCGUCGCGCAGCGAGGGCUCGAAAAAAUUGCCGGGUUCCGGCUCGGCUUUCAACGCGACCCCAGGUCAGGCGGGGUUACCCGCUGAAUUUAAGCAUAUCAAUAAGCGGAGGA